UUGGUGAGAUGGGUGGGAAGAUUUUUUAAAAGGUAGCACAUACCCCCCAAAAAAGCCACAUAUGCAAAAGAAACAAAACUAUUUCUGUACUGUGUGUUUUCUCUUCCCGUUGUUUCCCUUGAGGGCCAAGUGCGCCUAUCUGAUAGCACUGAAUUUUAAAAUAGCUUUUUCUGAAAUGAAAAAUGAGCUGGUAUAUUCAUUCCUCCCUUUCUUUCAUGGAUGCAAGCCUAAAACGCCCAGGGAUGUGCAGAGCAGAAUGCUCCAGCUGCAGCAGGGGAUGAGUCACUGCCACAGUGCCAGAAAGGAAUAUGUUAAUGAGGGAUAGCCCACCUGGACAGAAAAAAAAGCUUGCCUGGAGAGGAGAUAAAACAAGCUGCAGUGCUGAGCAAUAAAAUCUCUGAUGUAUUAAUGGUGACUCCGGAUUCUGUUUUUUUUUCCACCGCCAUUUCUGGGAGGUACCUUGUUGGAGUCAGCUUCAACAAGGCUUGGCAGCUUGUUCCAGACUUCCACAACUCUUUGUGUAAAGACGUACCUCCUGGUUUCCCUUCCUGUUUUCUUUGCUGAAGAUAAGAGUCCGAAAAUAAGGAAAUAAGGAAAGUGGAACUCAGUCACUGGGGCUUUUCUCAGAAGAAAAUGAAUCAUUUACUAAUGGCCA
Long non-coding RNA from Lepisosteus oculatus (spotted gar), 655 nucleotides. RefSeq lists it as uncharacterized. The record is from RefSeq and is a predicted model, not a curated record. NCBI's taxonomy places the organism in Eukaryota, Metazoa, Chordata, Actinopteri, Semionotiformes, Lepisosteidae.